This 45-nucleotide non-coding RNA is filed under the name Schistosoma mansoni. Lineage: Eukaryota; Metazoa; Platyhelminthes; Trematoda; Strigeidida; Schistosomatidae. The record is from RNAcentral.
AUCCAACUGACGAGUCCCAAAUAGGACGAAACGCCAAUUUCGGAU